RNAcentral lists this ribosomal RNA (549 nucleotides) under uncultured bacterium. RNAcentral describes it as "bacterial SSU rRNA". It matches the Rfam family "Bacterial small subunit ribosomal RNA", at positions 355 to 896 of the family's 1533-position model. The record is from RNAcentral.
UAGGGAAUCUUCGGCAAUGGGGGCAACCCUGACCGAGCAACGCCGCGUGAGUGAAGAAGGUUUUCGGAUCGUAAAGCUCUGUUGUAAGUCAAGAACGAGUGUGAGAGUGGAAAGUUCACACUGUGACGGUAGCUUACCAGAAAGGGACGGCUAACUACGUGCCAGCAGCCGCGGUAAUACGUAGGUCCCGAGCGUUGUCCGGAUUUAUUGGGCGUAAAGCGAGCGCAGGCGGUUUGAUAAGUCUGAAGUUAAAGGCUGUGGCUCAACCAUAGUUCGCUUUGGAAACUGUCAAACUUGAGUGCAGAAGGGGAGAGUGGAAUUCCAUGUGUAGCGGUGAAAUGCGUAGAUAUAUGGAGGAACACCGGUGGCGAAAGCGGCUCUCUGGUCUGUAACUGACGCUGAGGCUCGAAAGCGUGGGGAGCGAACAGGAUUAGAUACCCUGGUAGUCCACGCCGUNNCGAUGAGCGCUAGGUGUUGGAUCCUUUCCGGGAUUCAGUGCCGCAGCUAACGCAUUAAGCACUCCGCCUGGGGAGUACGACCGCAAGGUUG